Long non-coding RNA from Pseudomyrmex gracilis, 618 nucleotides. RefSeq lists it as uncharacterized. The transcript is spliced from 6 exons. NCBI's taxonomy places the organism in Eukaryota, Metazoa, Arthropoda, Insecta, Hymenoptera, Formicidae. The record is from RefSeq and is a predicted model, not a curated record.
CUUUCCAAGAGACAUAAUCUCUCAAACUUUAUCUUCAUUGCACAUUGUCUACAGGAAAACCAUAGUCGUAAUUUGAUAUUUGAUGCUUUCGCGGUGUAUAGUAUUAACAUACAAAGAUGUUUUUUGGGUUUGAACCGCGCGAUUUUUGGCGAUCGUAUGGUACAUAUACCAAAGUGUACCAGAAUGUUUUCGCGUGUUUGUUACUUUGUGGUGGAGGCGUGGUUAACCGCUUUGGUAUCUAUCUGGUUAAUACCACGCUAUACCCUGCAGAAUAGUAGGGUAUCUUUUCCAAAUAUCUGAAAAAAACAUUGUAUGCAAACUUNAAAUAUUCUUUUCUUUAUUGAAAAGAUUGUAUUGUUAAAAAAUAAAUAAAAAUUUCUUGAUUUGUACAAAUAAUCGUGGUCAACCAAUUUUGAACAAAGAAGGAAAAAUACUAUAUUAUUGCACAAAAACAAAUGCUUUAACAACUUUAGAAAAUNUGUGUGAAACAGAUACUACAGCUAAUGAAAACACAGAAAAAGAUGCACAAUCCACUAAAACAACUGAAGAAAUAAUGUUAGAAAUGACAAAUAAAGAUAAAUUUACUCAUAAAAAAUAACACUAAAGCUAUUAGAGAUU